RNAcentral lists this transfer RNA (76 nucleotides) under bacterium. Its description in RNAcentral is "tRNA-His". It matches the Rfam family "tRNA". Rfam says of the family: Transfer RNA (tRNA) molecules are approximately 80 nucleotides in length. Their secondary structure includes four short double-helical elements and three loops (D, anti-codon, and T loops). Further hydrogen bonds mediate the characteristic L-shaped molecular structure. tRNAs have two regions of fundamental functional importance: the anti-codon, which is responsible for specific mRNA codon recognition, and the 3' end, to which the tRNAs corresponding amino acid is attached (by aminoacyl-tRNA synthetases). tRNAs cope with the degeneracy of the genetic code in two manners: having more than one tRNA (with a specific anti-codon) for a particular amino acid; and 'wobble' base-pairing, i.e. permitting non-standard base-pairing at the 3rd anti-codon position. RNAcentral also lists the same sequence under 1 other name. The record is from RNAcentral.
GUGGGCGUGGCUCAACGGUUAGAGCACUGGACUGUGGCUCCAGGGGUUGAGGGUUCGAUUCCCUCCGUCCACCCCA